Molecule: ribosomal RNA, 341 nt
Filed under: Cylindrospermopsis raciborskii S06
Lineage: Bacteria; Bacillati; Cyanobacteriota; Cyanophyceae; Nostocales; Aphanizomenonaceae
Description: bacterial SSU rRNA
Rfam family: Bacterial small subunit ribosomal RNA
Source: RNAcentral
UGUAUCGACCCGAGCCGUGCCGGAGCUAACGCGUUAAGUAUCCCGCCUGGGGAGUACGCACGCAAGUGUGAAACUCAAAGGAAUUGACGGGGGCCCGCACAAGCGGUGGAGUAUGUGGUUUAAUUCGAUGCAACGCGAAGAACCUUACCAAGACUUGACAUCCUGCGAAUUCCGGUGAAAGCUGGGAGUGCCUUAGGGAGCGCAGAGACAGGUGGUGCAUGGCUGUCGUCAGCUCGUGUCGUGAGAUGUUGGGUUAAGUCCCGCAACGAGCGCAACCCUCGUUUUUAGUUGCCAGCAUUAAGUUGGGCACUCUAGAGAGACUGCCGGUGACAAACCGGAGG